This 759-nucleotide ribosomal RNA is filed under the name uncultured Streptococcus sp. Its description in RNAcentral is "bacterial SSU rRNA". It matches the Rfam family "Bacterial small subunit ribosomal RNA", at positions 28 to 772 of the family's 1533-position model. The record is from RNAcentral. Lineage: Bacteria; Bacillati; Bacillota; Bacilli; Lactobacillales; Streptococcaceae.
GACGAACGCUGGCGGCGUGCCUAAUACAUGCAAGUAGAACGCUGAAGGAGGAGCUUACUUCUCCGGAUGAGUUGCGAACGGGUGAGUAACGCGUAGGUAACCUGCCUGGUAGCGGGGGGAUAACUAUUGGAAACGAUAGCUAAUACCGCAUAACAGUAGAUAUUGCAUGAUAUCUGCUUGAAAGGUGCAAUUGCAUCACUACCAGAUGGACCUGCGUUGUAUUAGCUAGUUGGUGAGGUAACGGCUCACCAAGGCGACGAUACAUAGCCGACCUGAGAGGGUGAUCGGCCACACUGGGACUGAGACACGGCCCAGACUCCUACGGGAGGCAGCAGUAGGGAAUCUUCGGCAAUGGACGGAAGUCUGACCGAGCAACGCCGCGUGAGUGAAGAAGGUUUUCGGAUCGUAAAGCUCUGUUGUAAGAGAAGAACGAGUGUGAGAGUGGAAAGUUCACACUGUGACGGUAUCUUACCAGAAAGGGACGGCUCACUACGUGCCAGCAGCCGCGGUAAUACGUAGGUCCCGAGCGUUGUCCGGAUUUAUUGGGCGUAAAGCGAGCGCAGGCGGUUAGAUUAGUCUGAAGUUAAAGGCUGUGGCUUAACCAUAGUACGCUGUUGGAAACUGUUUAACUUGAUUGCAAGAGGGGAGAGUGGAAUGCCAUGUGUAGCGGUGAAAUGCGUAUAUAUAUGGAGGAACACCGGUGUCGAAGCGGCUCUCUGGCUUGUACUGACGCUGAGGUCCAUGCUUGUGAGCAGUGUG